AUUGUACGCUGGCGGCAUGCUUUACACAUGCAAGUCGAACGAUAACAGGUUAAGCUGACGAGUGGCGAACGGGUGAGUAAUGCAUCGGAACGUGCCCGAUCGUGGGGGAUAACGCAGCGAAAGCUGCGCUAAUACCGCAUACGAACUGAGGAUGAAAGCGGGGGACCGUAAGGCCUCGCGCGAUCGGAGCGGCCGAUGUCAGAUUAGGUAGUUGGUGGGGUAAAGGCUCACCAAGCCAACGAUCUGUAGCUGGUCUGAGAGGACGACCAGCCACACUGGGACUGAGACACGGCCCAGACUCCUACGGGAGGCAGCAGUGGGGAAUUUUGGACAAUGGGCGAAAGCCUGAUCCAGCAAUGCCGCGUGCAGGAAGAAGGCCUUCGGGUUGUAAACUGCUUUUGUACGGAGCGAAGAGGUCCCCUCUAAUACAGGGGGCUCAUGACGGUACCGUAAGAAUAAGCACCGGCUAACUACGUGCCAGCAGCCGCCGUAA
This 493-nucleotide ribosomal RNA is filed under the name uncultured bacterium. RNAcentral's name for it is "partial 16S ribosomal RNA". It matches the Rfam family "Bacterial small subunit ribosomal RNA", at positions 29 to 523 of the family's 1533-position model. The record is from RNAcentral.